Molecule: non-coding RNA, 26 nt
Filed under: Rattus norvegicus (Norway rat)
Lineage: Eukaryota; Metazoa; Chordata; Mammalia; Rodentia; Muridae
Source: RNAcentral
UGGACAAAGGACUCUAUCCUGUAUCC